CGACAUUAUUAGGUUCAAAGACACUCCACAAUUUAAGCUAAAACUGGAUAAAGAGUAGAGUAACCUGCGUGCUGGAGGAUUAGACUUUAGAGCAGAAGGAAAGACUUUUGCUGAAGCAGCUGCUUCAGAUCACUGACUUGUUAAAGAUGUGUAACGAUUACUGCAGGAAAUUCCUCAUCAAAAUCUGCCUGUUUUGUUUCAGACUAAAACUCAUGAAAUCUGCAACUUUUCUUUCAAGCAGGUUCUGUUACAAUGACAAAUCAUUCAAGUUGGAAAAGACCACUGAGAU
Molecule: long non-coding RNA, 289 nt
Filed under: Numida meleagris (helmeted guineafowl)
Lineage: Eukaryota; Metazoa; Chordata; Aves; Galliformes; Numididae
Description: lncRNA (ENSNMEG00000002310.1)
Source: RNAcentral